Molecule: ribosomal RNA, 497 nt
Filed under: uncultured bacterium
Lineage: Bacteria
Description: partial 16S ribosomal RNA
Rfam family: Bacterial small subunit ribosomal RNA
Source: RNAcentral
GAUGAACGCUGGCGGCGUGCCUAAUACAUGCAAGUCGAGCGGACGGACGCGAAGCUUGCUUCUCUGAUGUUAGCGGCGGACGGGUGAGUCACACGUGGAUAACCUACCUAUCAGUCUGGGAUAACUUCGGGACACCGGAGCUAACACCGGAUAAUAUUUUGCACCGCAUGGUUCAAUAGUGAAAUACGGUCUUUCUGUCACUUAUAGAUGGAUACGCGCUGCAUUAGCUGGUUGUUAAGGUAACGGCUUAUCAAGGCAACGAUGCAUAGCCGACCUGAGAGAGUGAUAGGCCACACUGGAACUGGGACACGGACCUGGCUCCUGCGGGAGGCCGCAGUCGGGAAUCGGCGGCAGUGGGCGAGAGCCUGACGGAGCGACGCCACGUGAGAGGUGGAGGCCUUCGGAGCGUGAUGCUCUCUUAUGGGUGAAGAACAGAUGUGUCAGUAGCUGUGCACAGCUUGACGGUACCUGAUCAGGAAGCCACGGCUAACUACGUG